UACGGGGGGGGUAAGCGUUGUUCGGAAUUACUGGGCGUAAAGGGCUCGUAGGCGGCCAACUAAGUCAUACGUGAAAUCCCUCAGCUUAACUGGGGAACUGCGUGUGAUACUGGAUGGCUUGGAUUUGGGAGAGGGAUGCGGAAUUCCAGGUGUAGCGGUGAAAUGCGUAGAUAUCAGGAAGAACACCAACGGCGAAGGCAGCUCGCUGGGACGGUACUGACGCUGAGACGCGAAAGCGUGGGGAGCGAACAGG
This 253-nucleotide ribosomal RNA is filed under the name uncultured bacterium. RNAcentral's name for it is "partial 16S ribosomal RNA". It matches the Rfam family "Bacterial small subunit ribosomal RNA", at positions 524 to 776 of the family's 1533-position model. The record is from RNAcentral.